Molecule: ribosomal RNA, 484 nt
Filed under: uncultured bacterium
Lineage: Bacteria
Description: partial 16S ribosomal RNA
Rfam family: Bacterial small subunit ribosomal RNA
Source: RNAcentral
AUUGAACGCUGGCGGCAGGCCUAACACAUGCAAGUCGAGCGGAUGAAGGGAGCUUGCUCCUGGAUUCAGCGGCGGACGGGUGAGUAAUGCCUAGGAAUCUGCCUGGUCGUGGGGGAUAACGUCCGGAAACGGGCGCUAAUACCGCAUCCGUCCUGAGGGAGAAAGUGGGGGAUCUUCGGACCUCACGCUAUCAGAUGAGCCUAGGUCGGAUUAGCUAGUUGGUGGGGUAAAGGCCUACCAAGGCGACGAUCCGUAACUGGUCUGAGAGGAUGAUCAGUCACACUGGAACUGAGACACGGUCCAGACUCCUACGGGAGGCAGCAGUGGGGAAUAUUGGACAAUGGGCGAAAGCCUGAUCCAGCCAUGCCGCGUGUGUGAAGAAGGUCUUCGGAUUGUAAAGCACUUUAAGUUGGGAGGAAGGGCAGUAAGUUAAUACCUUGCUGUUUUGACGGUACCAACAGAAUAAGCACCGGCUAACUUCGUG